Molecule: ribosomal RNA, 253 nt
Filed under: uncultured bacterium
Lineage: Bacteria
Description: partial 16S ribosomal RNA
Rfam family: Bacterial small subunit ribosomal RNA
Source: RNAcentral
UACGGGGGGGGUAAGCGUUGUUCGGAAUUACUGGGCGUAAAGGGCUCGUAGGCGGCCAACUAAGUCAGACGUGAAAUCCCUCAGCUUAACUGGGGAACUGCGUCUGAUACUGGAUGGCUUGGAUCCGGAAGAGGGAUGCGGAAUUCCAGGUGUAGCGGUGAAAUGCGUAGAUAUCUGGAGGAACACCGGUGGCGAAGGCGACGUCCUGGACCGGCAUUGACGCUGAGGCGCGAAAGCAUGGGUAGCAAACAGG